GGUGAGUAACACGUGAGUAACCUGCCCCUUUCUCUGGGAUAAGCGCUGGAAACGGCGUCUAAUACUGGAUAUUCAGGCCUUGCCGCAUGGUGGGGUUUGGAAAGAUUUUUUGGUGAGGGAUGGGCUCGCGGCCUAUCAGUUUGUUGGUGGGGUGAUGGCCUACCAAGACGACGACGGGUAGCCGGCCUGAGAGGGUGACCGGCCACACUGGGACUGAGACACGGCCCAGACUCCUACGGGAGGCAGCAGUGGGGAAUAUUGCACAAUGGGCGAAAGCCUGAUGCAGCGACGCCGCGUGAGGGAUGACUGCCUUCGGGUUGUAAACCUCUUUCAGUAGGGAAGAAGCCGCUUGCGGUGACGGUACCUGCAGAAGAAGCGCCGGCUAACUACGUGCCAGCAGCCGCGGUAAUACGUAGGGCGCAAGCGUUGUCCGGAAUUAUUGGGCGUAAAGAGCUCGUAGGCGGUUUGUCGCGUCUGCUGUGAAAACGCGAGGCUCAACCUCGCGCCUGCAGUGGGUACGGGCAGACUAGAGUGUGGUAGGGGAGACUGGAAUUCCUGGUGUAGCGGUGGAAUGCGCAGAUAUCAGGAGGAACACCGAUGGCGAAGGCAGGUCUCUGGGCCACUACUGACGCUGAGGAGCGAAAGCAUGGGGAGCGAACAGGAUUAGAUACCCUGGUAGUCCAUGCCGUAAACGUUGGGCACUAGGUGUGGGACCCAUUCCACGGGUUCCGUGCCGCAGCUAACGCAUUA
Molecule: ribosomal RNA, 750 nt
Filed under: Ruania alba
Lineage: Bacteria; Bacillati; Actinomycetota; Actinomycetes; Micrococcales; Ruaniaceae
Description: bacterial SSU rRNA
Rfam family: Bacterial small subunit ribosomal RNA
Source: RNAcentral